AGACGACGACGGGUAGCCGGCCUGAGAGGGCGACCGGCCACACUGGGACUGAGACACGGCCCAGAAACUACGGGAGGCAGCAGUGGGGAAUAUUGCACAAUGGGGGAAACCCUGAUGCAGCGACGCAGCGUGCGGGAUGACGGCCUUCGGGUUGUAAACCGCUUUCAGCAGGGAAGAAGCGCAAGUGACGGUACCUGCAGAAGAAGUACCGGCUAACUACGUGCCAGCAGCCGCGGUAAUACGUAGGGUACGAGCGUUGUCCGGAAUUAUUGGGCGUAAAGAGCUCGUAGGUGGUUGGUCACGUCUGCUGUGGAAACGCAACGCUUAACGUUGCGCGUGCAGUGGGUACGGGCUGACUAGAGUGCAGUAGGGGAGUCUGGAAUUCCUGGUGUAGCGGUGAAAUGCGCAGAUAUCAGGAGGAACACCGGUGGCGAAGGCGGGACUCUGGGCUGUAACUGACACUGAGGAGCGAAAGCAUGGGGAGCGAACAGGAUUAGAUACCCUGGUAGUCCAUGCCGUAAACGKUGGGCACUAGGUGUGGGGGGCAUUCCACGUUCUCCGCGCCGUAGCUAACGCAUUAAGUGCCCCGCCUGGGGGAGUACGG
RNAcentral lists this ribosomal RNA (604 nucleotides) under Brevibacterium sp. CMT80. RNAcentral describes it as "bacterial SSU rRNA". It matches the Rfam family "Bacterial small subunit ribosomal RNA", at positions 271 to 885 of the family's 1533-position model. The record is from RNAcentral. Lineage: Bacteria; Bacillati; Actinomycetota; Actinomycetes; Micrococcales; Brevibacteriaceae.